Molecule: ribosomal RNA, 468 nt
Filed under: uncultured bacterium
Lineage: Bacteria
Description: partial 16S ribosomal RNA
Rfam family: Bacterial small subunit ribosomal RNA
Source: RNAcentral
GACGAACGCUGGCGGCGGGCUUAACACAUGCAAGUCGAACGGGAAGGCCCUGCUUUUGGUGGGUGCUCGGGUGGCGAACGGGUGAGUAACACGUGAGUAACCUGCCCUUGACUUGGGGAUAACUGCAGGUAACUGGGGCUAAUACCGGAUAGGAGCUCCUGUUGCAUGGGGUGGGUUGGAAAGUGUCGGGGGUUGGGGCUGGACUCGCGGCUUAUCAGCUUGCUGUUGGGGUAGGGUCUUACCAAGGCAUUGGCGGGUAGCCGGCCUGAGAGGGUGACCGGCCACACCGGGCCUGGGAUGAGGCCCAGACCCGUACGGGAGGCAGCAGUGCGGAAGAUAGCACAAUGGGAUGAAGCCUAACGUAGCCAAGCCGUGUGCGGUAUGACGGGAUUCCGGUUGUGAUCCGAUUUCGCCUGUGACGAGGCGUGAGUGACGGUAACGGAUAAAGAAGCACCGGCUAACUACGUG